UACGUAGGGGGCUAGCGUUGUCCGGAAUCAUUGGGCGUAAAGCGCGUGUAGGCGGUCCGGUAAGUCCGCUGUGAAAGUCGAGGGCUCAACCCUCGAAUGCCGGUGGAUACUGUCGGGCUUGAGUACGGGAGAGGCGAGUGGAAUUCCUGGUGUAGCGGUGAAAUGCGCAGAUAUCAGGAGGAACACCGGUGGCGAAGGCGGGUCUCUGGGCCGUAACUGACGCUGAGGAGCGAAAGCGUGGGGAGCGAACAGG
Molecule: ribosomal RNA, 253 nt
Filed under: uncultured bacterium
Lineage: Bacteria
Description: partial 16S ribosomal RNA
Rfam family: Bacterial small subunit ribosomal RNA
Source: RNAcentral